GACGAACGCGGCGGCGUGCCUAAUACAUGCAAGUUGAGCGCUGAAGGUUGGUACUUGUACCAACUGGAUGAGCAGCGAACGGGUGAGUAACGCGUGGGGAAUCUGCCUUUGAGCGGGGGACAACAUUUGGAAACGAAUGCUAAUACCGCAUAAAAACUUUAAACACAAGUUUUAAGUUUGAAAGAUGCAAUUGCAUCACUCAAAGAUGAUCCCGCGUUGUAUUAGCUAGUUGGUGAGGUAAAGGCUCACCAAGGCGAUGAUACAUAGCCGACCUGAGAGGGUGAUCGGCCACAUUGGGACUGAGACACGGCCCAAACUCCUACGGGAGGCAGCAGUAGGGAAUCUUCGGCAAUGGACGAAAGUCUGACCGAGCAACGCCGCGUGAGUGAAGAAGGUUUUCGGAUCGUAAAACUCUGUUGGUAGAGAAGAACGUUGGUGAGAGUGGAAAGCUCAUCAAGUGAC
RNAcentral lists this ribosomal RNA (462 nucleotides) under Lactococcus lactis. Its description in RNAcentral is "bacterial SSU rRNA". It matches the Rfam family "Bacterial small subunit ribosomal RNA", at positions 28 to 473 of the family's 1533-position model. The record is from RNAcentral. Lineage: Bacteria; Bacillati; Bacillota; Bacilli; Lactobacillales; Streptococcaceae.